This 501-nucleotide ribosomal RNA is filed under the name uncultured bacterium. RNAcentral's name for it is "partial 16S ribosomal RNA". It matches the Rfam family "Bacterial small subunit ribosomal RNA", at positions 30 to 523 of the family's 1533-position model. The record is from RNAcentral.
AUUGAACGCUGGCGGCAUGCCUUACACAUGCAAGUCGAACGGCAGCACGGGUGCUUGCACCUGGUGGCGAGUGGCGAACGGGUGAGUAAUAUAUCGGAACGUACCUUAUUGUGGGGGAUAACGCAGCGAAAGCUGUGCUAAUACCGCAUAAUCCCUAAGGGGGAAAGCGGGGGACCGUAAGGCCUCGCGCAAUUAGAGCGGCCGAUACCUGAUUAGCUAGUUGGUGAGGUAAAGGCUCACCAAGGCAACGAUCAGUAGCUGGUCUGAGAGGACGAUCAGCCACACUGGGACUGAGACACGGGCCAGACUCCUACGGGAGGAAGCAGUGGGGAAUUUUGGACAAUGGGGGCAACCCUGAUCCAGCAAUGCCGCGUGAGUGAAGAAGGCCUACGGGUUGUAAAGCUCUUUUGUCAGGGAAGAAACAGCAGCUCUAACACAGUAUGCGAAUGACGGUACCUGAAGAAUAAGCACCGGCUAACUACGUGCCAGCAGCCGCAGUAA